UUAUUAUUUAUUUUCUUAGGUAUGAUAAUGGUAUCAUUAUAUAGAAGAAUAACAUUCUACUUAGGAGAUGCAUAUUGAAUACUGAGGUAUUUAGGAGUGAAGAGUUUACCACUUAAAGUGUUUCAUAUAUAAAACUUUUUUUUUUUUUUUUACCUGGACAUGCGGCUUGUGUGUAAACUGGGGCUGGCUGGGCGGUCCAGGCACCUGGCCUGAGGCCCCAGCACGGCCUGCUCACAGGAGCAUGUGACCAUGGGAGGAAUGACAAAGUCAGGUGUCUUGCUCCAAGUUAUCCAGACAGGAUGUGGGAGGGGGUAGUGGGGACACAGGAAGUCAGUGAAAAGAUCCCCCUGGCCUUGGCCUGUUCAAAGACCUCGGCACCUACGAAGCCAGUCCGUCAGUGUGCUUCUGACCUGCUACUCACUGGCUCAUGGGCCAGGGCCCAGUCAAGUUCGAGGUGCAAUUCAAGUCUUUGGAGAGCACAGUUCCUCUUUCCCGUGGGGUUACCUGCACAGGUCUCAGCACAGAGGAGGGGGCUGCAGUGGUGGUCACUGCUGGGGCGCAUCCUUAGGCAGGCAUCUUGGUGGAGGAGGAGGCCUCCUUCUUCUUGGUGCUGGCUUUCAUCACCACAUCAUGCUCAAUCUUCUUCCGGAUCCCAACCUCCAGGUUCUUCUUGAGCUGCUGCUGCUGCACGAUGCGUGCCUUCUUGGGUGCGAUAACGCGACCGCCCUUCCUCGGGCCCCGGUUCCGCGCCGAGGCCGCCGCCGCCGCCGCCUUGCUCUUCGCUGGCUUCUGCGCCUGGAACUUGCGCUGCCCCUGCGCCAUUAUCAGCCACCAAAACUUUCUAUUUAAAGUAAAUAUGGCAAAAUGUUAACAAAAGUUUAAUCAAGAUAUCGUACAUGCAAAUGUCAUGGUUCUGUUCUUCUUCCUUAUGCUUGAAAUUUUCUGGAACAGACAGUUGAAAAAAAUAGCUUGAAAAGAAAACAGAUGAAGACCUAGACCACCCAGCCCCAAGAGGUGGAAUUGGAGUUGCUGUUGGGGUACAGGGGGAGCACCAGAAUGGAAGCCAGUGGAGCCUCCAAGACUGGAGGAGCCACUUGAAGGUAAGAUUCACAUCACCUGGGCCCAAGUGAGCACUGUCAGUGGCGAGCGCCAUGUGCCACAUGCUCAGCCAAUGACCAGAAUUCAGCCAACGUUCGGUGCCUAUGCCAAUCAGCCCCUUUUGCUGCACUCACUGUCCCCAAGGGAGGGCAUCCCCCUAGGAGUUGCCUUUGUGUGGCUUUCAUGGUCCAGCAGGGACAAUGCCCACCCAUGCCUUGGUAUUUUCUUAGCCCAAGAGACCUAUUUAAUGAGAAAGAUCCUAUUUUCGGUGGCUCAGGACACUUAUAAACCCCACUGAGGGGACGAUGGGGAUUUAAAACAUCCUGGCCUCCAGUGCCUGUGCUUGGGUAGAACUGAAUAGAACCAUUUCUCGAUUUCUUCUGGGAUCAGGAGUUGUUAAAAACCCACUCACAUGACAUAAAGAAAUCCCCACACAUUCCUGAAGGAAACUAACCUAUAUUAGCUCAAAAAAAAAAAAAAAAAAACACCUUGUCACUUCUGAGCAAACACCCUCCAGAUCCCAGCAGUCCAAGAAAAUGAUAAAUGGGACCUUGGAAGAAGCAGAAACUGCUGAUGGCACAGCCACUCAGAAGCAGAGAAAGAUUUGACAAACUUCCACACAGAAAUCUAUAUUCCAUAGGUUUCAAGACUCUUUUGCCUCCUACUUUCUCAGUGUCUUUUUGUUUUCUGAAAAUGUGACUAAUUCCAAAAUCAGUUUAUAAUAAUGAUGAUUUCAUCUGUUCUCAAAGUCCCUGUUUCAUAAAUGAGCCAAAAGUUAAGAGGCAUUGUCCGUCCAUAUUUUUAUCCGUCCAUAAUUUAAAACAAACAUUUUAAAUUAGAUGAGAUUGUUAAAUUCGUAAUCUGUUGGAAUAAACCACAUCAUCAUUGUGCUAUUAACA
This 1997-nucleotide long non-coding RNA is filed under the name Bos indicus x Bos taurus (hybrid cattle). RNAcentral's name for it is "lncRNA (ENSBIXG00000018684.1)". The record is from RNAcentral. Lineage: Eukaryota; Metazoa; Chordata; Mammalia; Artiodactyla; Bovidae.